This 253-nucleotide ribosomal RNA is filed under the name bacterium. RNAcentral's name for it is "partial 16S ribosomal RNA". It matches the Rfam family "Bacterial small subunit ribosomal RNA", at positions 524 to 776 of the family's 1533-position model. The record is from RNAcentral. RNAcentral also lists the same sequence under 2 other names.
UACAUAGGGUCCGAGCGUUGUCCGGAAUCAUUGGGCGUAAAGCGCAUGUAGGCGGCCCUUUAAGUCGGAUGUGAAAUCCCGAGGCUCAACUUCGGAACUGCAUCCGAUACUGGGGGGCUUGAGGAAGGUAGAGGAGAGUGGAAUUCCCGGUGUAGCGGUGGAAUGCGCAGAUAUCGGGAGGAACACCAGCGGCGAAGGCGGCUCUCUGGGCCUCUCCUGACGCUGAGAUGCGAAAGCGUGGGUAGCGAACAGG